UACGUAGGGUGCAAGCGUUGUCCGGAAUUAUUGGGCGUAAAGAGCUCGUAGGCGGUUUGUCGCGUCUGCUGUGAAAACCCGAGGCUCAACCUCGGGCCUGCAGUGGGUACGGGCAGACUAGAGUGCGGUAGGGGAGAUUGGAAUUCCUGGUGUAGCGGUGGAAUGCGCAGAUAUCAGGAGGAACACCAAUUGCGAAGGCAGCUCGCUGGGACGUUACUGACGCUGAGACGCGAAAGCGUGGGGAGCAAACAGG
RNAcentral lists this ribosomal RNA (253 nucleotides) under uncultured bacterium. RNAcentral describes it as "partial 16S ribosomal RNA". It matches the Rfam family "Bacterial small subunit ribosomal RNA", at positions 524 to 776 of the family's 1533-position model. The record is from RNAcentral.